This 301-nucleotide ribosomal RNA is filed under the name uncultured bacterium. Its description in RNAcentral is "partial 16S ribosomal RNA". It matches the Rfam family "Bacterial small subunit ribosomal RNA", at positions 509 to 808 of the family's 1533-position model. The record is from RNAcentral.
CAGUAGCGCGGUAAUACGGAGGGUGCAAGCGUUAAUCGGAAUUACUGGGCGUAAAGCGCACGCAGGCGGUCUGACAAGUCAGAUGUGAAAUCCCCGGGCUUAACCUGGGAACUGCAUUUGAAACUGUCAGGCUGGAGUCUUGUAGAGGGGGGUGGAAUUCCAGGUGUAGCGGUGAAAUGCGUAGAGAUCUGGAGGAAUACCGGUGGCGAAGGCGGCCCCCUGGACAAAGACUGACGCUCAGGUGCGAAAGCGUGGGGAGCAAACAGGAUUAGAUACCCGUGUAGUCCCUGUCUCUUAUACC